AGCGAACGCUGGCGGCGUGCCUAACACAUGCAAGUCGAACGUGAAAAGGGAAACCUGAGUAAAGUGGCGUACGGGUGAGUAACGCGUAGGUAAUCUACCCCAGAAUCUGGAAUAACCUGCCGAAAGGCGGGCUAAUACUGGAUAGAGCGAGGGAACUCGUAAGAGAGUUUUUCGGGAAAGGGAGCCCGCAAGGGCCUUCGUUCUGGGAUGAGCCUGCGUCUCAUUGGCUAGUUGGUAAGGUAACGGCGUACCAAGGCGAUGAUGAGUAGCUGGUCUGAGAGGAUGGUCAGCCGAACUGGAACUGAAACCCGGUCCAGACUCCUACGGGAGGCAGCAGUGGGGAAUCUGGCGCAAGGGACGAGAGUCUGACGCAGCCACGCCGCGGGAGUGAAGAAGGCCUUCGGGUUGUAAAGCUCUGUCGGAUGGGACGAACAUCUUCAUAGUGAAUAGCUAUGAGGACUGACGGUACCAUCAAAGGAAGCACCGGCUAACUCCGUG
RNAcentral lists this ribosomal RNA (498 nucleotides) under uncultured bacterium. RNAcentral describes it as "partial 16S ribosomal RNA". It matches the Rfam family "Bacterial small subunit ribosomal RNA", at positions 29 to 507 of the family's 1533-position model. The record is from RNAcentral.